UUUGCCUUUUUAAUUGCACAGAAACAAAUUAGUCAACAAUGGACAGGUUUUAAAAAUACAAUGGUUUCACGGAAAAUUCAAAGUAAUUUAGUAAUAAUGCGACAAAAUUGUACAAUAAAAAGUUUAAGAUAAAUAUGAAAUACCAAACAUGCAUUCUACUUAGACGAUUUUUGAGCAAAAGUUUUGAAGUUCCAGCUGUUCGUAAACCAAUCAAUAAAUUCACACCCGUAUGCUCAAUAUAUCCGAAGAAUGCAUAUGCGAGCGCUAUUCAAUUACCAAAAUCAGCAACACUACUGGAGAAUGAUGAAAAUAGUACCGUGGUACUCUUGGGAACAGUGCAUUUUAGCAAACAAUCAGUUGAAGAUGUAUCCGAGAUAGUGAAAGUCUUAAAUCCAAACGCUAUUUUGAUUGAACUAUGUCGGCAAAGAGUAUCACUUCUGGAAUUGGACGAUAAAAAGUUUCUCGAAGAUGCUAAAAACUUUGAUGCUCAAAAGUUAAAAGAGGCAGUAAAAGGCCAAAACUUCGUCUCUGGAAUGUUACACGCAAUGCUAUUAAAAACCUAUGCUGAUAUAGCUAAAGAGUUGGGAGUCGCACCUGGAGGGGAGUUUCGAAGAGCAUAUCAUGAGAUGAAGAAAAUACCAGGAUGUAAGUUAUUUCUUGGCGACCGACCAAUUCAAAUAACGAUUGCUCGAGCUUUUCAGUCGUUGAGCGUGUAUGAAUUGGGUCAAGUCUUGUAUCAUCUUACAACGACAAAUCCAAAGCCUUUAGACAAGGAACAAUUAGAAAGGUACAAAGAUAGGGACUUUGUUCAAGCGCAGUUUGAAGAAAUAACUCGAGAUGUGCCAGCUUUCAAGAAAAUUUUCCAUGUAUUUGUCGACGAACGCGACAAAUGUCUUGCGUAUUCACUUCAAGAAUGUGUUCGUUCUGUUAAAAGUCCUCGCGUCCUCGCUGUGGUCGGCAUGGGACACGUAGAUGGCAUUGUAAAAUAUUAUGGAAAAAUGAAGCAAGAGGAUAUUGUGCCACUACUGUUUGAUUAAAUUUUAGUACAAACAACAAUUAAUCGGUUAAUGAAUAUAAAAUAUACUUAUAAAAGUUCAUGAAGUCCUCUUUUUUCAGCAUACCCCCACGGCCAAUGUAUAAGGUGAUAUUACCAAAAGUAGUGAAAAUGGGUUUCUAUUUUAUUCUUUUUUCUUUUUUUUAUAGGUUAUUGUUUGGAUAAAUUAUAUUUAUUAACUAAAUUAGUACUAAGUAAAGAGAGAUGGAAUAAAUAUUUAUGUACACAUGA
Molecule: RNA transcript, 1285 nt
Organism: Spodoptera frugiperda (fall armyworm)
Lineage: Eukaryota; Metazoa; Arthropoda; Insecta; Lepidoptera; Noctuidae
Gene name: traB domain-containing protein-like
Exons: 9
Source: RefSeq, a predicted model, not a curated record